RNAcentral lists this ribosomal RNA (795 nucleotides) under uncultured archaeon. RNAcentral's name for it is "bacterial SSU rRNA". It matches the Rfam family "Archaeal small subunit ribosomal RNA", at positions 83 to 879 of the family's 1478-position model. The record is from RNAcentral.
ACUGUUUCAGUAUACACGUGGACAACCUACCCUUAGGUCGGGGAUAAACCCGGGAAACUGGGUAUAAUACCCGAUAGUCCUCGGAUGCUGGAAUGCACCGAGGUCUAAAGCUCCGGCGCCUAAGGAUGGGUCUGCGGCCUAUCAGGUAGUAGUGGGUGUAGCGUACCUACUAGCCUACGACGGGUACGGGUUGUGAGAGCAAGAGCCCGGAGAUGGAUUCUGAGACACGAAUCCAGGCCCUACGGGGUGCAGCAGGCGCGAAAACUUUACAAUGCUGGAAACAGCGAUAAGGGAACCUCGAGUGCCAGGUUACAAAUCUGGCUGUCGUGAUGCCUAAAAAGCAUUGCAUAGCAAGGGCCGGGCAAGACCGGUGCCAGCCGCCGCGGUAACACCGGCGGCUCGAGUGGUAACCGCUAUUAUUGGGUCUAAAGGGUCUGUAGCCGGCCGGAUAAGUCUUUUGGGAAAUCUGGCAGCUUAACUGUCAGGCUUUCAGAGGAUACUGUCUGGCUCGAGGCCGGGAGAGGUGAGAGGUACUUCAGGGGUAGGGGUGAAAUCUUGUAAUCCUUGAAGGACCACCAGUGGCGAAGGCGUCUCACCAGAACGGACCUGACGGCAAGGGACGAAAGCUAGGGGCACGAACCGGAUUAGAUACCCGGGUAGUCCUAGCCGUAAACGAUACUCGCUAGGUGUCGGCCACGGUGCGACCGUUGUCGGUGCCGUAGGGAAGCCGUGAAGCGAGCCACCUGGGAAGUACGGCCGCAAGGCUGAAACUUAAAGGAAUUGGCGGGGGAGCAC